CAAGGGCGCUCCGGGUUAGCGGCGGACGGUGAGUAACACGUGGGUAACCUGCCUGUAAGACUGGGAACUCCGGGAAACCGGAGCUAAUACCGGAUAGUUCCUUGAACCGCAUGGUUCAAGAUGAAAGACGGUUUCGGCUGUCACUUACAGAUGGACCCGCGGCGCAUUAGCUAGUUGGUGGGGUAAUGGCUCACCAAGGCGACGAUGCGUAGCCGACCUGAGAGGGUGAUCGGCCACACUGGGACUGAGACACGGCCCAGACUCCUACGGGAGGCAGCAGUAGGGAAUCUUCCGCAAUGGACGAAAGUCUGACGGAGCAACGCCGCGUGAGUGAUGAAGGUUUUCGGAUCGUAAAGCUCUGUUGUUAGGGAAGAACAAGUGCGAGAGUAACUGCUCGCUUGACGGUACCUAACCAGAAAGCCACGGCUAACUACGUGCCAGCAGCCGCGGUAAUACGUAGGUGGCAAGCGUUGUCCGGAAUUAUUGGGCGUAAAGGGCUCGCAGGCGGUUUCUUAAGUCUGAUGUGAAAGCCCCCGGCUCAACCGGGGAGGGUCAUUGGAAACUGGGAAACUUGAGUGCAGAAGAGGAGAGUGGAAUUCCACGUGUAGCGGUGAAAUGCGUAGAGAUGUGGAGGAACACCAGUGGCGAAGGCGACUCUCUGGUCUGUAACUGACGCUGAGGAGCGAAAGCGUGGGGAGCGAACAGGAUUAGAUACCCUGGUAGUCCACGCCGUAAACGAUGAGUGCUAAGUGUGGGUUUCCGCCCCUUAGUGCUGCAGCUAACGCAUUAAGCACUCCGCCUGGGGAGUACGGUCGCA
RNAcentral lists this ribosomal RNA (817 nucleotides) under Bacillus aerius. RNAcentral's name for it is "bacterial SSU rRNA". It matches the Rfam family "Bacterial small subunit ribosomal RNA", at positions 77 to 890 of the family's 1533-position model. The record is from RNAcentral. Lineage: Bacteria; Bacillati; Bacillota; Bacilli; Caryophanales; Bacillaceae.